RNAcentral lists this ribosomal RNA (208 nucleotides) under uncultured bacterium. RNAcentral describes it as "partial 16S ribosomal RNA". It matches the Rfam family "Bacterial small subunit ribosomal RNA", at positions 568 to 774 of the family's 1533-position model. The record is from RNAcentral.
CGCGUAGGCGGCCUGACCAAGUCGGGUGUGAAAGCCCUCGGCUCAACCGAGGAAUUGCACCCGAUACUGGUUGGCUAGAGUCCGGGAGGGGGUAGCGGAAUUCCCAGUGUAGCGGUGAAAUGCGUAGAUAUUGGGAAGAACACCGGUGGCGAAGGCGGCUACCUGGACCGGUACUGACGCUGAGGCGCGAAAGCCAGGGGAGCGAAUG